RNAcentral lists this ribosomal RNA (283 nucleotides) under uncultured rumen archaeon. Its description in RNAcentral is "partial 16S ribosomal RNA". It matches the Rfam family "Archaeal small subunit ribosomal RNA", at positions 1 to 284 of the family's 1478-position model. The record is from RNAcentral.
UUCCGGUUGAUCCUGGCGGAGGCUACUGCUAUUGGGGUUCGAUUAAGCCAUGCAAGUUGAACGAUUCUUCGGAAUCGUGGCGAACGGCUCAGUAACACGUGGAUAACCUACCCUUAGGACCGGUAUAACCCUGGGAAACUGGGGACAAUCCCGGAUAGGUGAUUUUUUCUGUAAUGAUUUUUCAUUUAAAUGCUCCGGCGCCUGAGNAUGGGUCUGCGGCAGAUUAGGUAGUUGGUAGGGUAAUGGCCUACCAAGCCGGUGAUCUGUACGGGUUGUGAGAGCA